RNAcentral lists this long non-coding RNA (2253 nucleotides) under Salvia miltiorrhiza (redroot sage). Its description in RNAcentral is "long non-coding RNA (SMIL_LNC011886)". Lineage: Eukaryota; Viridiplantae; Streptophyta; Magnoliopsida; Lamiales; Lamiaceae. The record is from RNAcentral.
AACAAGAUAACACUUCAAACUAGACAUACAUAUAUGCGAGGUUCAGUUGCUAGAAAUGCGAUUGCCAAAAGAGUUCAUAAUAAUUAGGCUAGGAAUAUUUAAAGAGUCAAUCUCAAAAGAUAUCCACCUAAGUGAAUAUUAUGGCAGCGGAAUUUAUUCUUGACAUUCAUUUGGAAAUACAGCAACACCCUCCCUCAGCUUCACACGAUACCAUCUGCCGCUCAACCUGCAAAAGGUUUUGAAAACAAUUGCAGGGCUGAGUACUAGUAUACUCAGUGGGUUUAGCCAUUUGAAAACAUUUGAAAAAAAAUCCAUUUAAAAGAAUAAUCCAUGCUAUGAACAGUAUAACAUAGAAAUAUUUGAAAGCAUUCCAUGCAUACAUAAAAUAAAUUGUGGAUCCAUUUUCAGUCUUCUCUCAAUUGGUGCUUCACCUAUAAUGUGAACAUGUGGGAGCAGCCCACAGAGGUCCACUACCAUGCAUGUUUCAGAAAUGGGAGCAGCCCAAGUCUGACAGUCUGAGGCAAGUGGGAGCAGCCCACAAUACCCCCUUGUGUGUACACAAUCCUAACCAGGGCGAUCCAAUCGCUACGCCGGCUAGGACCCGAUCGUUAGAGAACAUAGGAGCACUUUAAACAAUAGAGAGAUAAAAUCAUUUUAACAUGGACAUUCAUUUGCAUUUGCAUAAAAACAAUUUAGAGCUCAAUAACUCAAAACAUACAUUGGAAAAUAAAAACCCAGCUUGAUAACAAGCCUGUAGAUAAAACUUGCGCAAUUCUCUUCUUGUAAAAUCAGUGCUAAAGCCUUCUAUCAAGUGGACCUACAAGAUAAUCUAAUCUUAAUAGGCCUUAAAAUAUCGCAUGAGCUAACGAUUCUACAAAGCUGCUAAAUCUUAAUAUUCUGCGCCCGGAUUUUCAAAACUCAAUUGAAAAUCUUGAAAAUCGAAAUUAUCAAAAUACUUUUAUUGCAUUAUUCAGUAUGCAAAUUCAUAUCAUAUCUCAAAAUCACAUAAAGUAAAUAACUACACUUAAAAAAAAUGCAGCUGAACUCUUUAAUAAAAUAAGGCCCAUCUUAAAAAAAAGUAAUAGGCCCAAAAUAAAUAAGUAAACCCCCCCCCCCCUUACUUUCUCCCUCACGUCUCCCCCUCUCUCUCUCACCAAUACCAGAACACAUUCCCUUCUCCUCCUCUCUUCGCCAUCUCUCUCUCUCACGCAGCCGCCCCGCCACUUCUCCGUCGCCGGCGACAACAGCGAUGUCGCCGUCGCGCAUUACUCUUCCCCCUCUCCGUUCUCCCCAUCUUGCUUCUCUCUCUCUCUCUCAAAUCCCCAAAUUCUGAAAUCCCUAAAUCUGCAAAUCUACCCUUUCCAUCUUUUUUUUUCUCGGCUGGACGGUCAACGGAGAAGGACCACCGCCGCCAACCACCUCCUACUCACCCUCUCAGACCCUCCCUUAUCUCUCUAUCGGCCGACAGACAGCAGGAGUUUCAGACCACCACCGCCGCCGUUCGCAACUGCCAUCUUAUCUCUCGAUCGACGAACGGACGGCGCCAAUAGGCAACCGCCGCCGCGAUUUAUCACCACCAUCUCCGAUUCUCCCUAAACCGCCUCUUCAUCCCCUCUGAAUUUCGGCCAGCAGCUAGAGAUACCGCCGCCGCCGCCGACUCUAUCCCCGCCUCCACUCCUUCUCUCCUUCUACCAGCGAUGACAGCCACGCCGGAGACAACAGCAGUAACCGCGCCUCCGCGGUCGACCACUGCAGCACCGCUGCCUUCGCUCCCCCCCUGCCCUAACUCGCCUCGACUCGAUUCCCACAUCAACAACACAUAGCGAAAGGUUAAAGAAAAUACGUGUAAGGCUCAAUUAAUCCAUAGGCAUUCUGUAAACUUGUUUUCUUUUUCAUAUGCAGUUUCUGUAACAACCAUAUGUACAUCAAAUAUAUAAGAUACGAUCUUUAUUCAUGUAUGCUAAUCAUCUUUUAGAUGUAUAUGAAUGUCUUGUUUGAUUGUAAAUAAAGAAUGGUUAUUAUUAUGCUUUGGCGUAUGAAAUUGGAGUGUAUGUUUGAGAAUGGAAGUGAACUGGAGGCAAACCUUUAUGAGAAUUCUGUUAUGAAGUAAAUUUUGAGGGCUGUGAUUUUGAGCUACGAACUGUCGCCUGCUACUCUUGGUGAGAAGCUGGGAUUUUGAGUUGUGUGUUGGGUGAAGAGUUAAGCUGCUUCGUGUGUGAUCGAAAGGGCGAGAAUGGCUAAAAUUUAUAGGGG